UCUGAUAUAUCUGCAAAGACGAACCGUGACAUUGUCUUUUUUUCUAUUGGACAUGAUAUUUUGUUGGAUUGGAUAGCAAGGCCAGGGACAGAUUCAUUAAGGGAUUUGUCACACUCUACACCAGGGACGGAUUCAUUAAGUGAUUUGCCACACUCUACACCUGCUGUGAAGUGUGAAGAGGAAGAUAGUGGUGAAGCGAUUGGUAAAAAGAUGAUAAUCUCUCUAGUGAGGAACUUGGAAUAUUAUGAUGCUGCUAUACUUAAGAUUCCGACAUUUGUUCAUGUCACAACUACAGUGCGACGAUAGAUUCUGUGAAGAUGUCAGUAUGGUCGUGUUGAACUCCUAUUUUGACAUACAACACUCUUUUGAUUUAUACAUUAGAAUUCUUUCUGAAGGGACAAGGACGACCACUACCAAUAGAAAUCAACAACCAUUCUUCUGUCAAACUCGUCACUACAAAGGAUUGAUUUCACCAAAUGUAUUUUUGCUGCCCAACGUUGAAAUGAUGAGGUUUGUUACAUUGGUGCUUUCAUCCAUCGGUCUCCAACAAUGGCGAUGUUUCUACCUUGAUUCAGCGGCGACGGCAUCCCAGAGAGCUGGAUUUUCAGGCCCAGUUGUACUUCACAAAUCUUGGCUUUGACGAGGAUGAUUAUUUUCCCCUUCCUUCAUUCUACCUUUAUGGUGAAGCUUAUUUCACAAUAAGCUAAUUUUUGAUUGGAAGCAUUUCAAGGGUAAAUUUGCUCAGUGGUUUCAAUAACAAACCAACAACAAUGUAGUGGGGCGUCUAGCUAAUUCAUCACAAGUUCAUUUUUGACUGCGUUAAUUAUGUCCCUAUAGUUUCACAAUCAGCUGUGGUGUCUCCCAGUCAUUUUCCAGCAUCAUCUGCCCUUGAUUUUGCUUAUGAAACUGGUAACUCAAAGGCGGACCUUGUGCUUUAUAAAUUGCCAGAGACGUAUUAACAUGUGGAUUCCUAGGCAUUGAUUACUGGAAGUAAUACUGAGACUGAAGCUCUUAAAGACAGGUACUCACCUCAUACAGGGAAUGCAAAGUCAGUAGAGGGAGCAAAUUUGGUAUCGGGACCUUUUUUCAAUGCUGAAAACAAGGCGUUCGAUGAAAUGUCACACACAACAGUGAGCUUUGAAAUUGUCCACGAGGGAGAAACUUUGCAACUACAGUGCGACGAUAGCUUCUGUGUAGAUGUCAGCUUGAAUACAAAGGUGCCUACUGCGAUGUUAGAUGAUAUGAAAGAAUCUAAUACUGAGGAGGAGGACAACCCACGAGAUAAUCUAGCUUUGUUUGACAAAAGUCCUAAAUGGGAUACAUCGGGUUUUUCUGGUUCCUUUUUCUAGCCAAGGUACUGUAAUGUUGAAUGUGAGUAUGCAAAUUGCUGUAAUCGAAUAUCCAUUCAUGGUGUCUAAUGGGAUCACACUAUUCCUUGUUUGCAUAAUUCUCUUGAAGAAAUGUGUGGGGGUAAACAAACUA
Molecule: long non-coding RNA, 1482 nt
Organism: Solanum tuberosum (potato)
Lineage: Eukaryota; Viridiplantae; Streptophyta; Magnoliopsida; Solanales; Solanaceae
Exons: 2
Source: RefSeq, a predicted model, not a curated record